UAGGGAAUCUUCGGCAAUGGACGAAAGUCUGACCGAGCAACGCCGCGUGAGUGAAGAAGGUUUUCGGAUCGUAAAACUCUGUUGUUAGAGAAGAACAAGGACGUUAGUAACUGAACGUCCCCUGACGGUAUCUAACCAGAAAGCCACGGCUAACUACGUGCCAGCAGCCGCGGUAAUACGUAGGUGGCAAGCGUUGUCCGGAUUUAUUGGGCGUAAAGCGAGCGCAGGCGGUUUCUUAAGUCUGAUGUGAAAGCCCCCGGCUCAACCGGGGAGGGUCAUUGGAAACUGGGAGACUUGGGUGCAGAAGAGGAGAGUGGAAUUCCAUGUGUAGCGGUGAAAUGCGUAGAUAUAUGAAGGAACACCAGUGGCGAAGGCGGCUCUCUGGUCUGUAACUAACGCUGAGGCUCGAAAGCGUGGGGAGCAAACAGG
Molecule: ribosomal RNA, 429 nt
Filed under: Gemmatimonadota bacterium
Lineage: Bacteria; Pseudomonadati; Gemmatimonadota
Description: Gemmatimonadetes bacterium partial 16S ribosomal RNA
Rfam family: Bacterial small subunit ribosomal RNA
Source: RNAcentral